CUGUGCUCAGCAGUGACCACCAGGUGGCAGCACGUUCCCACUGCCUCCCAGACCGCAGGCUGAGCGAGAAACCGAGAAGCUGGGAGGAGUUGGUGGCACCCCCUUUCAGUGCUGCUUAGAGCGACCUCAGAUGGUGCGGAACACGAAGGAAUCGAGAAUGAAGGGCAAAGGAGACAGGGAUAGAUUGCCAACUGCCUAAGUUCAACCUGAUCCCAUGGAAUAUUUCUGGGCCGCACUAAAUUCAAUGCUCUUGACUCAAGAAGGUUGAGAAGCUGCUUCUACUUAUUCAAGCUUGUGAGUAUUCCAAGAAAAACAGUAUCUGUGUUUUUCUGUAGAGUGCACGACGCCGCUCACACACUCCGCUUCACUCAGUUAGCAAAACCACCACCCGAGAGGCCCGUCUUACUCAUCUCUGCCCGCAGCAGAAGAAACUGAGGCCCGGAGGCUGGAGGGGUCUGCUCAGGACUGUCCCUGUACCAACAUCAGAGGGGACUCGGGGACAGGAGCCUCUCACCGGCCUCCUCACCUCAGGAGAGGACAGUGAAGACGGGGAGAGGGCUUGUCAGCUGCCAUGGAGACAACGCCAACCACCAUGGGCUGGGCACUUUGCCAGGUGUCGCUGACGAUUCUAUAGCCGUCCUGGAGGUAAGUACUGUUGGAUCCAUUGCACAGAGGAGGAAACUAAGGCGCGGUGACACCUGAGUGACUUGGCCAGUGAGCCACCUGAGCAACAAAGCCAGUGAAUGACAGGGCCGUGGCCCGGACCCAAGUCUGUCUUGGCGUCAAAGCCUUGGCUCUUCCCAGUGAACCCCACGAGAAGAAUACCAUAUCAGUUAUGCCAAAACCCAGUUUGUCAUCUGAGGCAGAAAUUCUUCAGUGUCCCAAUGGGCUCCGCUUAGAAGACGGUGGUUCGGGACCGCUGUGGGCAGCCGACCUCUGUUCCUCUGCGUUCUCCGUGUGCCUCUCUUGCACCCAGCCCGUGAUCAGACAGCAGCGUCGUGAAACCAUAUUACGUUCGUUCCUUGCUAAACGCCUUCCCAGAUAACCUGAUUCUCUCCGCUGCUUAUUAAAGGAACAAAGAAAUAGAAUUUGUUCUUGGUCGAGGUUCAGCCUCAGGGCCGGGCUGCGGAGCCGAGCCCUGAUUGCUCCCAGCAUCCAAGAUAGCAUCUCGCUCUGUCCUUGUCCCUCCACGAUGAGUCAACGGGCCGCUCGGGCCAUUCCCGGAGGGGAGCCGGACCUUGCUUCAGUGACCGCGACAACAGAGCUCCAGGUCACGGCGAGACAAUCCAGCUUGCGCUCCUUCCCUCCCCCCACCCCCAGCGCGCCCAGUGCCCAUGACUAGGGCGUUUUGUGUCAUCCUGCAGUUUGGCACGACCUCUGCAUUUCCUGCCAAUAAUGCUGGCUGUUGUUUCUGAGCAAAUGGUACAAAUGACCAACGUGCCCUCCAUGCAA
This is a long non-coding RNA of Lynx canadensis (Canada lynx), 1452 nucleotides long. RefSeq lists it as uncharacterized. The transcript is spliced from 4 exons. NCBI's taxonomy places the organism in Eukaryota, Metazoa, Chordata, Mammalia, Carnivora, Felidae. The record is from RefSeq and is a predicted model, not a curated record.